Molecule: small RNA, 28 nt
Filed under: Bombyx mori (domestic silkworm)
Lineage: Eukaryota; Metazoa; Arthropoda; Insecta; Lepidoptera; Bombycidae
Description: ovarian small RNA-33473
Source: RNAcentral
UGCACUAGAGUGUUGCGAUUGACGAUCC